AGCAGCCGCGGUAAUUCCAGCUCCAAUAGCGUAUAUUAAAGUUGUUGCAGUUAAAAAGCUCGUAGUUGAAUUUCGAGACCGGCUUACUGGUCGUGCUUUUGUACGUACUGGUAUAAUCGGUUUCUCCUUUCUGACGAACUAUAAUGCCAUUAAUUUGGUGUUAUAGGGAAUCAGGACUGUUACUUUGAAAAAAUUAGAGUGUUUAAAGCAGGCUCACGCUUGAAUACAUUAGCAUGGAAUAACGGAAUAGGACGUUUGAUUCUAUUUUGUUGGUUUCUAGGAUCGACGUAAUGAUUAAUAGGGAUAGUUGGGGGCAUUAGUAUUCAAUUGUCAGAGGUGAAAUUCUUGGAUUUAUUGAAGACUAACUACUGCGAAAGCAUUUGCCAAGGAUGUUUUCAUUAAUCAAGAACGAAAGUUAGGGGAUCGAAGACGAUCAGAUACCGUCGUAGU
RNAcentral lists this ribosomal RNA (450 nucleotides) under uncultured Glomeromycotina. RNAcentral describes it as "SSU rRNA". It matches the Rfam family "Eukaryotic small subunit ribosomal RNA", at positions 569 to 1024 of the family's 1831-position model. Lineage: Eukaryota; Fungi; Glomeromycota. The record is from RNAcentral.